Long non-coding RNA from Gastrolobium bilobum, 421 nucleotides. RefSeq lists it as uncharacterized. Lineage: Eukaryota; Viridiplantae; Streptophyta; Magnoliopsida; Fabales; Fabaceae. The record is from RefSeq and is a predicted model, not a curated record. The transcript is spliced from 3 exons.
CUAUCUCUGGAGAUGCAAUUGGUGGUGUGAAUUUUCCUACAUGUUUCGCUCUCUCUUCUUCAAAUGUUGUUCAUUCUUAUUCUGUUCCUUCACAAGCUAGGAACAUUGUUUUCAUUGUCAGUUUCUAAGCUAGAUUGAGCUUUCGAUUCGGGUUCAGGUAAUUUGGAGGCUAAUGCCUCUGGCGGCAGGAGGCCGGAGCUUAGUUGAUAUAUUAUGUUGUAUGCUAACAUGAUAUGGAUUUGGUUGCUAUUUAUGUUUCUGUCAUUUAUGAUUAUUGAGUUGAGACUGCUGUUGGGCAUUGUUGCCUUAUUUGGUGAGCAUGGGGUUUGUCCAUGCCACUUUGAUUUUUCGUCGUGUUUAAGUUUAUCUGUGUUGUAUAAACUAUCAGGUUGUCUGGUCUACGUGUUGUAGUUCCGUGACU